UACCAGAAGUAGGUAGCUUAACCGUAAGGAGGGCGCUUACCACGGUAGGAUUCGUGACUGGGGUGAAGUCGUAACAAGGUAGCCGUAUCGGAAGGUGCGGCUGGAUCACCUCCUUUCUAGA
RNAcentral lists this ribosomal RNA (121 nucleotides) under Duganella rivi. Its description in RNAcentral is "partial 16S ribosomal RNA". It matches the Rfam family "Bacterial small subunit ribosomal RNA", at positions 1418 to 1533 of the family's 1533-position model. Lineage: Bacteria; Pseudomonadati; Pseudomonadota; Betaproteobacteria; Burkholderiales; Oxalobacteraceae. The record is from RNAcentral.